UGCCUCGUAGCUCAGUGGUAGUAGCGAUCGCCUGUUAAGCGAAAGGUCGCAGGUACCCUGCGGGAAGCCGCUUCGCGUCUACGAUACCUGCCGAGGCAGCCA
Molecule: transfer RNA, 102 nt
Filed under: Anabaena sp. FACHB-83
Lineage: Bacteria; Bacillati; Cyanobacteriota; Cyanophyceae; Nostocales; Nostocaceae
Also listed under: 2 other names
Description: tRNA-Asn
Rfam family: tRNA
About the family: Transfer RNA (tRNA) molecules are approximately 80 nucleotides in length. Their secondary structure includes four short double-helical elements and three loops (D, anti-codon, and T loops).
Source: RNAcentral